UAUUUUUGCAUAAGAUUGAAUUUACUACAGUAAGGGUCAAAUACUCGAUUCAUCUCCUGUCAAUAUACACUCCGUGGUUGUUGUUGUUUAAGAAAUAAGUGUUCGACCUUUACAGCCUAGUCUAAUGCCUGGUUGCAAAGGCGUGCAUGGAAUGGCGUGCCUUCAUAGCGGCCUGUUUCUACAGGAAGAAAGUGAUUGGCAGUACGGAAUUUGAAGAUAUUUUGGGACUCAUCCGGGUGAAUUUUAAUCAGGUCAGAUGCACUAUUCGCGACAAUGACGGUGUCAUCUGCAUACAACAGGACCAGAAGCUUAAGCCACGAUAUUGCAGUAUCUGGGUUGAUAAGUUCAACCCCAACGGAUCCAUUUAUAUGCAGGUUGUACAGUAGAGAUGUCCCAUGAUAGCACAUUGUGACCAUCUGAAAAUAAAGGGUUUGUGGCACAAUGUCUUCCCCCGGGGGCCUAGCGAGCUCUCCCCGGGUUAGGCGUGUUUCUGGAUCCAGGUGUGUCCCAGGGGCGCUGUAUCAUCGGUUGAGGCUGCGAUGAGCUAAUCUGUUGGGCCGUUUCCUGAUGGCGGUGUGGGAUUUCCCUACGAGGUGCGUGUGGGCGAGGAUUCCUCCUCCUGGAAGGCGAUGGCGACUGUUGUUUCCGCGGGGUCCUGUGCUCAAGAACAGGGGAUUGAUUUCGCUGGCUACGAUCCUGCGAUACAGCUUUGUUUGAGUUGACGGACUGGGCACGAGGAACUCGUGAUAUUGCUGGCUGUGUAUUUGGUUUAUUUACAUUGCUAGCUGAGGCAUACUGUGUGUUUGUAAAUAAAAGUUUGUGACUUGUUACACGGCUGCCUUGCAUGAUAGUAUCCCAGUUGGGAAAGGCAUCGGCGACAACGCGUCCAUCUUGGAUUAUUUUGGCAGGGUAUACGAUGCUCACCUUACUGUUCGGGUGUUCUUGCCGUAAGCGCUUGUACUGGGGCCAUAAUAUCUUACGUGCAUCGACAAUCUCGCGUGGGAAGUCUCUGUUUAUGUGGAAAUGUGUGCCACGGAGCUUUCUGGCGUUCGACAGGAUGAAUUCAGUGUCACGAAAGUCUAAGCAGUAAAUAAUGAUGGGUCUUGAGGAGCCGUGCCGGAAUUUUCCUAGCCUGUGACAUCGAGGGAUAGGAGGACAUGGGUCGAUCUCGAGCUUCUCUCUUAGGAAAGUCGAUAUUUUGUGAAAGCAAUUUUCGUCCCUCUCUUCCGGGAUGCCACUUAUAAGGAGGUUAUUAGUUAAGCAGAGUUACAAUAAUAUCAACCUAAAAUAUUGACAGACAAGUAAUUUCGUAUUUGCAGUAUUUUAAUUCACUGAUUAGGAACUGAUAACCAAAGUGAAAAUACUGACAUAUCUGCAUUUUCAAUAUAAAAUAAUGUAUUAAUUAAGCAUAUAAUCAAUCAUCAACAAUCAAAUUAUACAUGUGAUAAUUUUGUUAUUAAGUUGACACUAUUAUACGUACAUGGACUCAAUAAGUACAAGAAUACUUGUUUUAGAUGCAUGUGUUUGACGAUGUAAUUUCGAACAGAAUCUUACAUAAUGAUUUUCGAAUGCUUACAGAUUUCUGUAGCCAUUUGAACUUUAUAUCAAACGUUUCUAAAUAACUAAAGUAUGUCAAGGUUGUAUUCAUAUAAAAAUAACUCACAAUAAAUAUUAUCGUUACAAUUAAAUUAUAUACACUGGGAGAAAAGGCUGUAUUAUAGUUCAUAGAAAAUAAUACAUAGUUGUUUGUUCCAUUUGUCCAUUCACCAGCUCUAACACUAUACCACCAUCCGAACAACAACAGCAGCAGCAACAACAGCAAAAACAACCAGUUUCAAGGCCGGACACACUACUUCAAUCGAGGCAACAGACCCUUUCAAAGGAAACCACAAAUGAAGCGGCUCCAAAGACCAACCAAAAAAUAAUACCUUUUACUGACUCGCAUUCUACAGAAAGUGGAACAAGACAAAACACACGCAAUAAUAAUUGCUCCCAUAUGGCCCACACAAACAUGGUGGCCAAUUUUGACAAACCUCAUACAAGGACCGUGUUACAUACUUCCGGAAACACAAAGAAUUCUUAAACUGGAACACAAACCGGACAAACAACACCCUCUACAAAGGAUGAGAUUGGGUGUUUUCAAUAUAUCCGGAAGGCUUUACAAUUGCAAGGCAUUCCGGAACAAGUAGGUGACAUCAUUAUCGAAUCAUGGAGAAAAAGCACAAGAAAACAGUAUAACACAUAUAUUUAGCCAUGGCUGGAUUACUGUAAAAGGGAGACAAAUCCCUUUUCACCAUCUGUAAAGAAAAUACUGGAUUUUCUAUCAAUCUUACAUAACAAAGGCCUGAGCUAUUCAGCCUUGGGAACGGCAAGAGCAGCAGUCGGCUGCUUUGUCAAAAUAACGGGAAAAGUGGACUUCAGUAACAAUGAACUUAUUUCACGCUUCAUGAAAGGUGUAUUUCAAAUAAAACCGACAUUACCUCGCUACUCCAGCAUCUGGGAUGUUAAACCAGUUUUACAAUAUCUUGAAUUAAUGGAUACCUCCACUCUGUUAUCCUUAUCAUGUAAACUAUGUAUGCUUGUCCUACUUGUUACUGCACAAAGUUGUCAAACGCUACAUGUAAUAAAAUUAACGGAUAUUUUUUUCUCUGCAGAAAAUGUGAUUAUAAAUAUUUCUAGUUUACUUAAACAAACUAAACCUGGUACACAUUUAAAACCUAUUACUUUGCUUCCAUAUAUAACAAAUGAAAAGUUAUGCAUUGUUCAAGUUUUACAUAACAUCUUCGACGGAACAAUAAUCUGUUAAUCUCUACGGUGAAACCACAUGGAGAUGUGUCUCAACAGACUGUGGGAAGGUGGAUAAAAUUGACAAUGAUGAAGGCUGGCAUUACGGAAAAUUUCAAACCGCAAAGCACACGCUCAGCGGCUUCGUCACAUGCUUUCUGUAAAGGUGUACCAUUAAUGCAGAUCAUUGAAACAGCAGGAUGGAGCAAUGCAUUGACUUUUGCAAAAUAUUAUAAUAAACCAAUUACGGAAAAUCAAGGUUGUAAUUUAGUACAACAUGCAUGUAAUAUGUCAUAAUGUGUAUUAAACUUGCAAGAUAAUUCUUUGAAAAUAAAAUAAAAAAUGAA
This is a long non-coding RNA of Dreissena polymorpha, 3131 nucleotides long. RefSeq lists it as uncharacterized. The transcript has 6 exons. The record is from RefSeq and is a predicted model, not a curated record. Lineage: Eukaryota; Metazoa; Mollusca; Bivalvia; Myida; Dreissenidae.